This 301-nucleotide ribosomal RNA is filed under the name uncultured bacterium. RNAcentral describes it as "bacterial SSU rRNA". It matches the Rfam family "Bacterial small subunit ribosomal RNA", at positions 775 to 1067 of the family's 1533-position model. The record is from RNAcentral.
GGAUUAGAUACCCUGGUAGUCCACGCUGUAAACGAUGAUCACUAGACGUUGGGCUUGCUUGCAGGCUCAGUGUCGCAGCUAACGCGAUAAGUGAUCCACCUGGGGACUACGGUCGCAAGAUUAAAACUCAAAGGAAUUGACGGGGGUCCGCACAAGCGGUGGAACAUGUGGUUUAAUUCGUCAUUACGCGAGAAACCUUACCUAGGCUUGACAUGCUUUUGAUUGCUGUAGAGAUACAGAGUUCUAGAUUUCGGUUUAGACAAUUGCACAGGUGCUGCAUGGCUGUCGUCAGCUCGUGUCG